GUGUUGUAUAAAAGGCAACUGACUGUUCCUUAGCAUUUCCUUUGACAUGGACAGAAAAGGCUCUUGGGCCUUACAAUAAAUUGGUGAUUAAGGCAUUGCCAUUUAAUUAUGGUGAUAU
Molecule: small nuclear RNA, 118 nt
Organism: Rattus norvegicus (Norway rat)
Lineage: Eukaryota; Metazoa; Chordata; Mammalia; Rodentia; Muridae
Source: Ensembl